CCGAGCGGUCGCAGCUCGCCUGGCGGUUAUCGGCCGUUUGUUUUCAAUAAGAAUUUUACUAUUUAAAAUUAAUAAGUUCAAUGAAACAUUAAACCCUGAGCACAGGAUCGUUUUCGCGUCAAGUUAUGUGCGUGAAAGGAGGCAGGCUGAGCGACAUAACGGCCGCGGUGGAAGUCUGAGCAAGUUUAGGCAGGCGGGCGAGUUUCGGCCAAGUUCGUGACUUUGGACUGCUAAAUUCAAUGAUUCCGGCGUUUGAACGAAUGUGCCCGGUGUGUUUUAAAGUGAGGUGGGGUUGAGAUGCUGAAGAUCAUGCCGUCACUUUGCUGCAUUUCUCGCUUUCAAGAUGUGAUACAGCCUCUGUUGGUGCGGUGGCGGAAAUGGAUUACCAAAUGUCGGGUGAACGUUUAAGAUAGAGUUUGUCAGAUAAGAAAUGUUCGACGGUUUAUGUGUUGAAGGUGCCUUGAUGAGUGAAGUGGUCGACACUUGUGUGAUGGAGUUGUGGUUCAAACCUAGUUCGAGCAAAUGUGAGAUGCGCUUUAAACUGUUCACAAUCGUGAAGUGAGGAAGUGUUGAUGGGUAACAAGAUAGGUGCCUACUAUCCCUGCCUGCACGUUUCAAAAGGUUGACACCUGCUGACUUGAAACGCCACUGAUGUGUGGAAUUUUGUGUAACUCUGAAGACUGUUCUAUGGAACCCUGUUUGAUAAUUUAGUGACUUUUUGUGGAUUUGUUGAUUCAAAGAAGAACCCUGCUCGUGUGUGGUUGUGAGCAAGCUCAAGAGGGUAUUUUCUUGUCAAUAGAAGGGAGAGUGAAACCUGCUGUGUUUUGUGAAAUUAUCCUAUAGGCAUUUAAAGGAGUUAUUAUCACCAUUUUUAAGUUAUUAUUUUUUUUUUGUUACACUUCUGGCCAUGAGAACUGUGUUUGGACUGUGAGGAGAUGUUCGCUUUUGACAUGAACUUUGGAACGGUCCUGAAAUUUGUUCGAAAUGUUCGUUAAACAUGGAUUUGGAUUCCAGAAACUGGAAUGGUUUGCAUUUAUCAGACUGCUGCUUACAAUUUCUUUGCAAAUUCCUGGAGGGAGUCUUUGUGGAUGAAGCCAAGCGCAGUGGUGAGUU
This is a long non-coding RNA of Frankliniella occidentalis (western flower thrips), 1113 nucleotides long. RefSeq lists it as uncharacterized. The transcript has 7 exons. NCBI's taxonomy places the organism in Eukaryota, Metazoa, Arthropoda, Insecta, Thysanoptera, Thripidae. The record is from RefSeq and is a predicted model, not a curated record.